This 499-nucleotide ribosomal RNA is filed under the name uncultured bacterium. RNAcentral describes it as "partial 16S ribosomal RNA". It matches the Rfam family "Bacterial small subunit ribosomal RNA", at positions 30 to 523 of the family's 1533-position model. The record is from RNAcentral.
AUUGAACGCUGGCGGAAUGCUUUACACAUGCAAGUCGAACGGCAGCACGGACUUCGGUCUGGUGGCGAGUGGCGAACGGGUGAGUAAUACAUCGGAACGUGCCCAGUCGUGGGGAUAACGUAGCGAAAGCUACGCUAAUACCGCAUACGAUCUAAGGAUGAAAGCGGGGGAUCGCAAGACCUCGCGCGAUUGGAGCGGCCGAUGGCAGAUUAGGGAGUUGGUGGGGUAAAGGCUCACCAAGCCGACGAUCUGUAGCUGGUCUGCGAGGACGACCAGCCACACUGGGACGGAGACACGGCCCAGACUCCUACGGGAGGCAGCAGUGGGGAAUUUUGGACAAUGGGCGCAAGCCUGAUCCAGCCAUUCCGCGUGCAGGAUGAAGGCCCUCGGGUUGUAAACUGCUUUUGUACGGAACGAAAAGGCUCUGGUUAAUACCUGGGGCUCAUGACGGUACCGUAAGAAUAAGCACCGGCUAACUACGUGCCAGCCGCCGCGGUAA